AGAAACUCCGGCUACAGGCUGCGGCUUGUGGUGACCUCUGUCUGCCGCAGGGAGAAGCGCCCGCCCGGGAGGGAUGAUACUCCUCCUGACGUGUGAGCUCGACGACAAUAACCCCUCAGCCGCCACAGGGACAAUCCGCGGAUACCUUACCUUACUGUAGGACACAUUAAAGCAGCAGCAGCAGCACCUCGACUAUGCCUCUGGUUCGUCCCCCGCCGCGCCCCGCCCGCUCCCCGCCCGCCGUGUGUUAGCUUUAGCUCGGGCCGUCGUGUCUCCGCCGGUCGGGCAGCCAGCGCGGAUGUUUUUGGGCGGCGGUCGCCAAGACAACGGGCUCCGUUCAGCCGCGUGAGUGACGGCAUGCUGCCGGGACGAUGCUGACAUUCCUCCGGAUCCUUCUGACAGGCCUGUUGGGUGCUCUGUGGGAUGGAGUAGUUGCUUUCGGUGGGGUCAGACUAGUGAAUGGAGACAACAAGUGUUCUGGCAGAGUGGAAGUACUCCGCCACGAACACUGGGGGACUGUCUGCAACCACGGCUGGGACUUUCGGGAAGCCGAUGUAGUGUGUUUGGAGCUGGGUUGUGGCUUGGCUGAAUCCAGUCCUCACACUUCCGAAUUUGGUCGAGGGAAUGGAGAGAUUGCGCUGCACCACGUCCAGUGCUCAGGACAUGAAUCCAGUUUGACACGCUGUGCUGUCGUCCUCCAUAGUCCCUCCUAUUGCAACCAUGAGAAUGAUGCAGGCGUAAAAUGCUCAGGUACCCUGUUGACGCCCAGCUUGUCCCUGCUGUCACCUCACACUGUGUUCUCUCUCGGGGAGUCUGUCCGCUUUCGCUGCAGUGUUCUGCUGCGUCACCACCUCAGUGACUUCCACCUGUACAAGCAUGGAGUGGCCACGCCGCUGGUCACACAGAGGGCCGACCAGAACCAGAUCGGAGUGGACCUCACGUUGUCCGACAUAGAGACUUUCCACCAGGGCAGCUACAGCUGUCGCUACAGCAUAAAGGGCGGCUUCCCCUCUCAGCUGCUCAGUUCCCCUCCCAGCAAUCCCAUCAACAUCACUGUGGUGGAGCUCCUGACCCCCCAGCACUGGUACAACACGUCCUCUGAGGCCCCGGCUGGCUCCGUCAUCAAAGGACAGAGUUUCAACAUCACAUGCUCCACGCUGCAGCAGUACCCCGGUGGCUCCUUUCAGCUGCGCCUUAUCCGCUCCAAUGGCACGGUGCGCCAGUCGCUGCCUGCCCUCACCCAGUCUGUCACUUUCACCUUUCCCAACGCUCAGAGCUCCAACGAGGGAUACUAUUACUGCCUGUAUCGGGUCCAACUGGGAGGACGUACGUUUGUCUCCAGAGAAAGCCAGCCCCUGCCUAUAGCCAUCAGAGAUCCUGAUCCAGUACUGAGUCCCAUGGUGAUCAGCUGGCUUGUGUCUGGUCUGACGUUUGUCAUAGCUGUCAUCAUUAUAAUUACUGUUGCCAAGGUACUGUGUCACAAGGAGAGGAAGCCCUCUGAGCUGGAGCGGGAGACCAGAACUUGUGUGGACAACACUUAUGUUGCCUUAUCCAUUAACAGGCUAUGAUGGAAUAUACAGGCAACACGUACUUGAAAGGGGAUGGUGAUAGAUGGUGAUACUACCACCAGAAUCAAUCGUGUGUGGACAUUCCCGAGGGCUCCAACUGUGUCCAUGAAGCAUCCAGCUGGGGGGGGGGGGGGGAUGUGAAACCAAACUGCUCAGCCAGCAUCCACCACCUGCUGGUGACUGCUGGAACCAGCUCGGCCUGCUCUGGACGGGGCACAGUCUUCACUCAGCACUAACCAUGGACCUACCUAAGACUACACUGUAGUAUUUUCAUUCCAAACGUUGCUUUUUUUACUGCUGGAAAACACUAGGUACGAUUGAUUGACUGACUGGUUAGACGUAAGCCGACGGCUGCGGUGGACGGAUGGCUCAGCGUACUUGAACGAUCCUUCUCGUUAAAGCUAGACUCUAGAUUCACUCAGACGUGGCUACUGCCAUGAUUUCGCAUGUACAGAAUGGGCACUUGGAGUUAAACUGGGGACACUGUGACAUGAGUUCGUCAGGUCUCUGUGGAUCUACAGCGCAAGAAAAACAUUUUGUAUUUGUGAACAGGAAACACUAAUUCCAAGCCCACUUAGAUACAUACUUGCCCACAGAACAAUGAUUCUUUAAAGAUUAAAGAAUUUUUUUUGUAUUUUAAGUCUAACAUUACUAUGCAUCUUUUUUUCAUCAUUAAAUGUUCAUUAAUGCACUUAUGUUGUAAAUAGAAGCUGUAGUAGAUUAAAAUGCUGCUUUUGUUCCACGAGUUUGUGUGCAAGAUGUUAGACAAAUCUGUUACCGAAGGUAUGCGAUUUUGUAACCUCCACUCAGAUUACGCAACAAGACAAGGCUUUUAACACGACGCGGGAUGUUUCAUUUAUUUUUUAUACCCUCAGUUAUUUACCUUUUUAAAAUGUUAUUUUUUUCCCCCUGAAUAAAUUACUUGAAACUUGGAAAAAAGGUACAUAUAUAUAAGCUCUUUAUUAAAAUGAAAUCAAUAUAAACAAACCACAACAAACCUGAAUAUGUCUGGAUAAUGUAAUAUAAAAGUG
Cololabis saira (Pacific saury) is the source of this 2599-nucleotide RNA transcript. It is a transcript of the gene named deleted in malignant brain tumors 1 protein, with no coding region annotated. The record is from RefSeq and is a predicted model, not a curated record. NCBI's taxonomy places the organism in Eukaryota, Metazoa, Chordata, Actinopteri, Beloniformes, Belonidae. The transcript is spliced from 9 exons.